GGCGUAAGCGCGCGUAGGCGGCUAAUUAAGUCAAAUGUGAAAUCCCCGAGCUUAACUUGGGAAUUGCAUUCGAUACUGGUUAGCUAGAGUGUGGGAGAGGAUGGUAGAAUUCCAGGUGUAGCGGUGAAAUGCGUAGAGAUCUGGAGGAAUACCGAUGGCGAAGGCAGCCAUCUGGCCUAACACUGACGCUGAGGUGCGAAAGCAUGGGGAGCAAACAGGAUUAGAUACCCUGGUAGUCCAUGCCGUAAACGAUGUCUACUAGCCGUUGGGGCCUUUGAGGCUUUAGUGGCGCAGCUAACGCGAUAAGUAGACCGCCUGGGGAGUACGGUCGCAAGACUAAAACUCAAAUGAAUUGACGGGGGCCCGCACAAGCGGUGGAGCAUGUGGUUUAAUUCGAUGCAACGCGAAGAACCUUACCUGGCCUUGACAUAGUAAGAACUUUCCAGAGAUGGAUUGGUGCCUUCGGGAACUUACAUACAGGUGCUGCAUGGCUGUCGUCAGCUCGUGUCGUGAGAUGUUGGGUUAAGUCCCGCAACGAGCGCAACCCUUUUCCUUAUUUGCCAGCGAGUAAUGUCGGGAACUUUAAGGAUACUGCCAGUGACAAACUGGAGGAAGGCGGGGACGACGUCAAGUCAUCAUGGCCCUUACGGCCAGGGCUACACACGUGCUA
RNAcentral lists this ribosomal RNA (670 nucleotides) under Acinetobacter calcoaceticus. Its description in RNAcentral is "bacterial SSU rRNA". It matches the Rfam family "Bacterial small subunit ribosomal RNA", at positions 557 to 1227 of the family's 1533-position model. Lineage: Bacteria; Pseudomonadati; Pseudomonadota; Gammaproteobacteria; Moraxellales; Moraxellaceae. The record is from RNAcentral.